Long non-coding RNA from Chiroxiphia lanceolata (lance-tailed manakin), 3727 nucleotides. RefSeq lists it as uncharacterized. The record is from RefSeq and is a predicted model, not a curated record. The transcript has 3 exons. NCBI's taxonomy places the organism in Eukaryota, Metazoa, Chordata, Aves, Passeriformes, Pipridae.
GGGCGCGGGGGCUGCGGGGACCGCGGGUUCGUGCCCGCUGCUUGUCAUUCCUGAGUGCUCAGCGCCGGCGCUGGGGAAUUUACCCUUAUUUGGUCGUUGGGCGACACAAAUUCCGCCCUCUCCCCCUCCCUCCCAUACACACCCUUCUUCAGCCUCGCCCCGCUUGUGUUAGGGCUGAACGGGCGCCCCCCCCCCCCCCCCGGGCGCGGAGCCCCCCGAACUGUCAUGGCGAAACGUCCUUUACACAAACACACACGCUCCGCGCUCUCCCUCCGUGGCUGAGGGAAAGUCCCGCCGAGCCCCUUUUUAGCCUUAUUUCGGCCGAACUUGGGCUGACACUCCCUGGUCUCCGCGGGGAGAGCGGGGCCGGUUUGUCCCCGAGCCAAGGGAGCCUCUUGUUGCUGCUGAGGGGCUGCUGCGGGAGGGUACCUGAGGGCAGGGAAUGGCACCGGGCUGUCCCCUCCUGUCCCAGCACCACAACUCAGGGAAUGGCACCGGGCUGGUCUAUCCCGGCAUCAGAACUCAGGGUGUAACCCACAGCUCUCCCCUGCUGUCCUGGCACCAGAACUCAGGGAAUGGCACCAGUGCGGGAUUUGGGGGCCCUGUUGCUGCGUGUUCCUGCGCGGUGACCAUUCUUGAAGCGCCUCUAAAUUCUUGUCUGUUGUGCUAAUGUGAGAUGUCGUCACGCCUACGUUUAGCAAAAGCUGUGGAGCUAUUAACUCGGAGCUAGGAAAGUGCUUUGAUGAAAAUAUAUUAAACAUAAAAACCUGCUGUGGUUUCUCCAAAUUAUUCCUCCUUGCUUUGAGACAAACACUGAAAAAUAUUCCACUUGUAGUAAGGAGGGCAAAACACCAUCCCGAGACCUUUUUUUUUUUUUUCCAGGGAGUCUUAGUGAGCUGCUCCUUUUCAGUAGGUGCUUUAUAAGUGUUACUAAAAGUUUGCUGCCCUUAGACUUUACAAGAUACAUGAGAGAAGGAUUAAAUUCACUGUAUGAUUAAAUCAUCUUUCAUUAGCUUUGUCCCUGGCCCUCAGCACUAUGCUGUAGCAGGCCUUGCAGAAAAUAUAUUACAGUUUUUCCCAGAGUGAUCUGUCCUCACACAAUUGUUACAGGCACUGGAACUCCUGAUCAAAAACAUCCCUGUUUCCAUUAGUGUGUUUUUCAAAGCCUUUUUAUAACAAAUGAGGGCUCCACCUCCUUUGUGUAUUGUGUGUAUGUAUUUUUGAGGUGGAAGAGCCUCAGUUUCUGACCAUAAAUGUUGUACAUGCUUAAAUAUUAUUCUUCCACAGAUCCUGGUCUUUUUUUUUUUUUUGUCCACACAAGUUCUUACGUUAGAGAGAUCCGAAAGAAUGGAAAAUGGAAACCAUCGGCUGUCCCCACCUCCGAGAGGAGCUGCUCUGUAUAUACUGUGUGCAUAUUUCUUUGAUGGGAAGGUGUCGGUUUCUCUUGUAGUUAGACCAGUGACUGAUUCAUCCCUGAACCAUCUCUUCCUGUAAUUCACUGUUACUUCAUUCAGUUGAUUGUAUUAUAUGGAGCAGGGAGAAAUGCCAGGGCAAUACGAAGAGCGGAGGUUGAUAAAUUCCAUUUCAGCUGAAAAGUUUAUGUUGUUUAUUAUUUGUAUCCUUGUGAGGACUGUCCCUUAGGAACACUAGUAAUGCACAAGAACCCUGUUUUGAUAGCUGCAGUACAAACUCAGACCUUGUUAUUUCAGAGUAAAAAGAGGAUUCCUGCCCCAAAAACAUAUGUACAGAAACAAGAGAUGGAAAGAACAAAUGGAGGAAGAAAUAACACAACGAUAUUGAUUAGCACAAUAUGCAGUCUUUGCAGCAAAAUUAGUUGGAAGUGUCAUUUAAGUAUAGCUGUAAUCUAACAGGUUUUAUCAGAUUUAGAAGUGACAUUUCAUUAAUUUGGCCUAAAGCUUUUACCUAUGCUUUAUUAGCCCAGGCACAAACUAUGAGCUCCAGACAAUACUUGUUUGGGGUUUCCUUGGCCCAAUAACUAGUUUGGCCCUGAUAUGGUUGUGCUGCUACCCAAAUGUGCUGAUAACCUGCUAAAGAGAUGUUUCCAGAGACUGGAUUGCUGCUCACCCUGAGAGUAUUUUCUCGGUCCUGUUCAUUUCAUCACUUUAAUUGUUUUGUUAUAGAAAUUUUACGGAAAAGAUCUUGAAGGAAUGUAUGAACACACCAUUUUAAUGCCAGUGGUGUAAAUGAGACACUUGUGGCCAUUCUCAGGAAAAAUCCAAAGGUCUGUGGACUCAGGCUACCAAAUAUUUCAUUCAGCCUGUUGCAGAAGUAUUUCUUUUCCAGCUGAGUAUGCAGGUGCUGUUUUCUUCUUACACAAUAUGUCUAGGUCUGAGCUGUUUUUUAAGCCUUCGUUCCUAAUCAGAAGUUCACGUGAUGUUCUUGCCACUGUCUCUUACUGAUGUCCUUAGAGAAAGUCCCGUCUAACGAGAGAGAGCAACCUCUAAAACCUUAUUAGACUUAUUCUCUCUUCUCAGCAGAGCUAUUACCAGCCUGCUUUUUGUCAGCAGUUUGUGAACCAACUCAUCCAUGCAGUCAUCCUCUCAUAUGGGAAGAGACACAUGAUUCUCUUUUAUGUUGCUUCAUAUGCAGUCAUGCUACAGCAGGUGAAUGGGAAAAACACAGGAGCAGAUGAAGCAGAUGGUAACUGGAACUUCACUCUGUUGCCAGGACUGUUAUAAACUCAGGCUCUAAAAUCCCCCAGCUGUCCUAAGAACGGAAGCUGUUUUGGGGAUUCACAGCUGAAGGAGGAUCAGCUUCACCCUCCUCUCAGCAAGCGGAAACGUUCGAGCCUUUGGAAUGGGAACAUGCGCGUUCCCAGCGAGCCACGAGAUGGCACCCACAGCCCCAUUCCCCGUAUCCCUGAACAUCUGCAGAAUUCCAGCCCUUCAGAGAGGUUACAGAGGAUGCAGCUCCUUCCACUUCAUCAAAGUCGGAGGAAGCCUGUGAUUAGCUGGAUGUUUACAAAUAAAAGGAGGAUCUGGAGACAGAUCAAAGAGAACUCUCCAGAUUUGGCACAGAUACCAUAUACUUGUGCUAACAGCAUCUGCAUGGGUUCAACUGUUACAUGAAGUCACUGAACUUGGUGUAUCUCAUCAUAUAUUAAAAAUGCUUUUUAAUGCUUAGUGCAUUUAUUAGAACUCUGAAGAGUCAGCCAGCUAAGGACCUGACAAAAACGAAAAAACAACACCUCCCAGCUAACAAGAUCUUACAGGCUCCAUUUAAGAGAAGCACCCACUGGGUUCUUCCUCACCCUGCUUUCUGCAGUGUAAUCAAGAAGCAAAGCACUGUUCCAAAAUCCAAAGGCUGUAGUACUUCAGACUCAGUAAACAGGAGCAGUAGCACUCAAAGCCUGUUCUCCAGCGAUCUAAGUAGUUUGGCUGGCCCAAUCACACCAUGUAUGCUCUUCCCUGGAAAGUCUAUAGUUCAUCCAGGAUCUGAGUUACUUUGGCACAGCCCAAAUGACGGGGGAGAGAAGCAGAUGGGAGAUAAAAGAUGUGGUGUGUGAACUACACUGAGUUAAUGUAUAUCUGUUCUAAGGGACAUCUUUGUUUUGACUCUGUGUAACAAACCAACAUAGCUUGUGAGGUCUGGAAGGCCACACUAGACUAUUCCUACUCUCAUAGUAGUGCUCUGUUUGAAGUUGGUAUUUCUAUUUGGGGUCUAAAGCCACACUGAACUUGAUCAAAUAAACAUUCUCCAAAGGAAA